Molecule: long non-coding RNA, 1079 nt
Filed under: Scophthalmus maximus (turbot)
Lineage: Eukaryota; Metazoa; Chordata; Actinopteri; Pleuronectiformes; Scophthalmidae
Description: lncRNA (ENSSMAG00000022643.1)
Source: RNAcentral
AAAAGCUACGUGGAACAGUUUCUACCUGCAUGCGGACAAGCUGUUGACGCGACGGAAAAAGAGGCCAAGAAAGACAAAACCGACCGCCGGGCAUGUGUAUCAGAGAGCUGCGGCGGUGAUCUGUUGUCUGUACUCUCGAAAACGACGGACCAGAAAUGAUGUCGUUAGGCCAAAAAUGAUUUCAAAUGACUAACACGGAGCAGAGACAACGUGUCAUUGAGAGGUUGUUGCGACACGAAUUUACAAAACACUCCAAUUACCAGCUCCUUUCAUAGUCAUUAUCUUUGCUAAGGCAUCUACACGCCGCUAAUAUGUCGUUCAGUCGGGAGCAACUGAUUCAAGUGUGGUUUUUGUGGGUUCACACGCAGAACAGGGCCUGGUGUAUCUCCGGGCAGCCCAAGGUGUGCAGAGUGGAGCAGGGAGAGGCGUGGACGGCGUGUCAUGCAAGGACAAGACGGUGACAGGGCAAAUAUGGUGGAUGGGAGCGUUAAUGUGUGUGUGUGUGUGUGUGUGUGUGUGUGUGUGAGUGUGUGCAUGUACUUGUUAGUGAAUGUGCAUGUGUGUUGGAGGAAGAAUAGAGGGAGAACAAGAAGGAGAGAACGAGGGAAAGAGAGGUGUGAUAUCAUCAAUUAAAUAACCCUCCCACACAGCAUCUGGUGCUCUCUCUCUCUCUCUCUCUCUCUCUCUCUCUCUCUCUCUCUCUCUCUCUCAGGCCGUCUGUCUGGCCCUGUUCAGACCUGGCAUCAGUUUGCGUCUUGGGUGAUUCGAUGACAAGUGGAUCGUCAGCUCCGAGGGCUUUUUCAUACUUUACGUGCGCCUGGAGUGACCACGGGUGAUCAGAUUCACAUAAGGAGAACGCAGCAGGUGAUUGUCCUGGUCAGAUGCAUUCACAAAAGCGGGACAACUCCAGAACAUUCAGGGUUUACCUCAGUGGUGGAUUCACAGUGACAUCUCAAUUUCACUUUUUAUCCUCGUUGGCAUCGGGGCCAAUGCUGACUCUGCUCGUGUCCAAGGGGAAUGGCGGGGAGGAGGUACAUCCUGUAGACAGCCUCCUUCUCCUUGAAGAGUCGCUGCGCUGA